AUUGAACGCUGGCGGCAGGCCUAACACAUGCGAGUCGAACGGUAACAGGAAGCAGCUUGCUGCUUCGCUGACGAGUGGCGGACGGGUGAGUAAUGUCUGGGAAGCUGCCUGAUGGAGGGGGAUAACUACUGGAAACGGUAGCUAAUACCGCAUAAUGUCGCAAGACCAAAGAGGGGGACCUUCGGGCCUCUUGCCAUCGGAUGUGCCCAGAUGGGAUUAGCUUGUUGGUGGGGUAACGGCUCACCAAGGCGACGAUCCCUAGCUGGUCUGAGAGGAUGACCAGCCACACUGGAACUGAGACACGGUCCAGACUCCUACGGGAGGCAGCAGUGGGGAAUAUUGCACAAUGGGCGCAAGCCUGAUGCAGCCAUGCCGCGUGUAUGAAGAAGGCCUUCGGGUUGUAAAGUACUUUCAGCGGGGAGGAAGGGAGUAAAGUUAAUACCUUUGCUCAUUGACGUUACCCGCAGAAGAAGCACCGGCUAACUCCGUG
Molecule: ribosomal RNA, 490 nt
Filed under: uncultured bacterium
Lineage: Bacteria
Description: partial 16S ribosomal RNA
Rfam family: Bacterial small subunit ribosomal RNA
Source: RNAcentral